This 435-nucleotide ribosomal RNA is filed under the name uncultured bacterium. RNAcentral's name for it is "bacterial SSU rRNA". It matches the Rfam family "Bacterial small subunit ribosomal RNA", at positions 29 to 506 of the family's 1533-position model. The record is from RNAcentral.
ACGAACGCUGGCGGCAGGCCUAACACAUGCAAGUCGAACGGGGUCCUUCGGGACUCAGUGGCGCACGGGUGAGUAACGCGUGGGAACUUGCCCAACGGUGGGGAAUAGCCACGGGAAACUGUGGGUAAUACCGCAUACGCCCCGCGGGGGAAAGACUUCGGUCGCCGUUGGAGGGGCCCGCGUCCGAUUAGCUAGUUGGUGGGGUAAUGGCCUACCAAGGCGACGAUCGGUAGCUGGUCUGAGAGGACGAUCAGCCACACUGGGACUGAGACACGGCCCAGACUCCUACGGGAGGCAGCAGUGGGGAAUAUUGGACAAUGGGGGAAACCCUGAUCCAGCCAUGCCGCGUGGGUGAUGAAGGCCUUCGGGUUGUAAAGCCCUUUCGGCGGGGACGAUGAUGACGGUACCCGCAAAAGAAGCCCCGGCUAACUCCGU